UGAAGACGGCUUCUUACUUCUUAGGGCAGGCGUAGCCGUAGCGGGAAUUUCGAAUUGAAGAUAUAUCUUUUCUGUUCUGUAGAAAUUUGGGCUAGAUUUGAAGAUGAAAAACGCAUCAAUAGACAAGAACGGCAUUAAUGUUGUGUAUUUCAAGUUUUUACUCCUCUACCAUCACGACUUGGAGCGGAUGGACAUGUGACUCAGCCAGGCUCAGCAGCAGGCAGGCAGGUCUGACUUGGCCAAGCCUGGCCCGUUGGAUCCCCGUGCAAUUUCUGGAGCGAUUGCCUCAGUAGGCUAGUGCUAGCUAGUGAUCCGGCCGCCAAUCCCUGUCCCUGAGCAGCUGACCAUCAUCUUCUUAGCCUUUGCUGACCGACCACCAUCAUGUAGUAGGGGAUUGCCUCUGAGUUUGGAUUGAAUUGAGAGAACAUCACUUAAUCAGUGCAAUUGAUGGCAGGAAGAGAUCACUGUGAUGUCAUCAACCAUGACCAUGUUUAUCUACUCAGCCCAGGAACAACAACAAGGAAGUUUGAAAAACCAAACGGCACAAGGCAUUUGACAGCUAAAGUUCAAGCAGUCCAUGUACUUCUAGAUUCAAUAUGCAACUUCUCUCGUAGAAUACAGGAUUCUGGGUAUUUACACCUGGAUACAAGGAGAGAUGUUGGGACAGACCAUGUCAAGAAUGUGGGAAUCCUCUAGCCUUCCAGGGUGAUUCCUACCAACUAGUGUCAGGAAAACUGCUGCUGCUUAUGUACCGGCACAGUCAAAGCUAACCCACAGGGAAGCUACAGAGAUGGCAGAGUAUAUGGCACAUGAGGAGCAAAACGACCAGGAAGUUCUACACCACCAGCUAAUACCUCGGUCACAUUUGCUCUACGGGGGCCGUAUGGCAAGUCGAAAACAGCCAUUUUACCAUUUU
This is a long non-coding RNA of Lytechinus variegatus (green sea urchin), 916 nucleotides long. RefSeq lists it as uncharacterized. The record is from RefSeq and is a predicted model, not a curated record. NCBI's taxonomy places the organism in Eukaryota, Metazoa, Echinodermata, Echinoidea, Temnopleuroida, Toxopneustidae. The transcript has 5 exons.